AUACGUAGGGGGCAAGCGUUAUCCGGAAUGAUUGGGCGUAAAGGGCGCGUAGGCGGCCCGGUAAGUCUGGAGUGAAAGUCCUGUUUUUAAGAUGGGAAUUGCUUUGGAUACUAUCGGGCUUGAGUGCAGGAGAGGUAAGUGGAAUUCCCAGUGUAGCGGUGAAAUGCGUAGAGAUUGGGAGGAACACCAGUGGCGAAGGCGACUUACUGGGCCGUAACUGACGCUGAGGCGCGAAAGCGUGGGGAGCGAACAGGAUUAGAUACCCUUGUAGUCCACGCGGUAAACGAUGAAUGCCAGGUGUUGCGGGUAUCGACCCCUGCAGUGCCGGAGUAAACACAAUAAGCAUUCCGCCUGGGGAGUACGGCCGCAAGGUUGAAACUCAAAGGAAUUGGCGGGG
Molecule: ribosomal RNA, 397 nt
Filed under: uncultured bacterium
Lineage: Bacteria
Description: partial 16S ribosomal RNA
Rfam family: Bacterial small subunit ribosomal RNA
Source: RNAcentral